Molecule: ribosomal RNA, 472 nt
Filed under: uncultured bacterium
Lineage: Bacteria
Description: partial 16S ribosomal RNA
Rfam family: Bacterial small subunit ribosomal RNA
Source: RNAcentral
GACGAACGCUGGCGGCGUGCUUAACACAUGCAAGUCGAACGCUGAAGCUUGGUGCUUGCACUGGGUGGAUGAGUGGCGAACGGGUGAGUAAUACGUGAGUAACCUGCCCUUGACUCUGGGAUAAGCCUGGGAAACUGGGCCCAAUACUGGAUACGACAUAUCACCGCAUGGUGGUGUGUGGAAAGGGUUUUACUGGUUUUGGAUGGGCUCACGGCCUAUCAGCUUGUUGGUGGGGUAAUGGCUCACCAAGGCGACGACGGGUAGCCGGCCUGAGAGGGUGACCGGCCACACUGGGACUGAGACACGGCCCAGACUCCUACGGGAGGCAGCAGUGGGGAAUAUUGCACAAUGGGCGGAAGCCUGAUGCAGCGACGCCGCGUGAGGGAUGACGGCCUUCGGGUUGUAAACCUCUUUCAGCACGGAAGAAGCGAAAGUGACGGUACGUGCAGAAGAAGCGCCGGCUAACUACGUG